This 77-nucleotide transfer RNA is filed under the name Rhodospirillales bacterium. RNAcentral describes it as "tRNA-Pro". It matches the Rfam family "tRNA". From Rfam's summary of the family: Transfer RNA (tRNA) molecules are approximately 80 nucleotides in length. Their secondary structure includes four short double-helical elements and three loops (D, anti-codon, and T loops). RNAcentral also lists the same sequence under 1 other name. The record is from RNAcentral. Lineage: Bacteria; Pseudomonadati; Pseudomonadota; Alphaproteobacteria; Rhodospirillales.
CGGGAAGUAGCUCAGCCUGGUAGAGCACUGUGCUGGGGGCGCAGGGGUCGCAGGUUCGAAUCCUGUCUUCCCGACCA